Molecule: ribosomal RNA, 322 nt
Filed under: uncultured eukaryote
Lineage: Eukaryota
Description: partial 18S ribosomal RNA
Rfam family: Eukaryotic small subunit ribosomal RNA
Source: RNAcentral
CCCUUAGAUGUUCUGGGCCGCACGCGCGCUACACUGAUGCGUUCAACAAGUUUCCUUGGCCGAGAGGCCUGGGCAAUCUUCUUAAUAUGUAUCGUGAUAGGGAUAGAUUAUUGCAAUUAUUAAUCUUGAACGAGGAAUUCCUAGUAAACGCAGAUCAUCAAUCUGCAUUGAUUACGUCCCUGCCCUUUGUACACACCGCCCGUCGCACCUACCGAUUGGAUGUUCCGGUGAAGACUCGGGAUGAGGACUGGUGCCUUUAUUGGCAUGAGUUGUUCAGAACUUGUCUAAACCUUAUCAUCUAGAGGAAGGUGAAGUCGUAACA